GCAAACUUGGUCAUUUAGAGGAAGUAAAAGUCGUAACAAGGUCUCCGUUGGUGAACCAGCGGAGGGAUCAUUACCGAGUUUACAACUCCCACACCCAAAUGUGAACAUACCUUCAGUUGCUUCGGCGGACUCGCCCCAGCGUCCGGACAGCCUCUGCGCUGCCCGCGGCCUGGAGUCAGGCGGCCGCCGGAGGCCCCUAAACUCUCUGUAUUGUCAGUCUCUUCUGAAUCUGCCGCAAGGCACUACAAAUGAAUCAAAACUUUCAACAACGGAUCUCUUGGUUCUGGCAUCGAUGAAGAACGCAGC
RNAcentral lists this unclassified non-coding RNA (306 nucleotides) under uncultured fungus. RNAcentral describes it as "partial contains small subunit ribosomal RNA, internal transcribed spacer 1, and 5.8S ribosomal RNA". The stretch from base 1 to 73 matches the Rfam family "Eukaryotic small subunit ribosomal RNA", at positions 1759 to 1831 of the family's 1831-position model. The record is from RNAcentral. Lineage: Eukaryota; Fungi.